GACGAACGCUGGCGGCGUGCCUAAUACAUGCAAGUCGAGCGCUGAAGGUUGGUACUUGUACCUACUGGAUGAGCAGCGAACGGGUGAGUAACGCGUGGGGAAUCUGCCUUUGAGCGGGGGACAACUUCUGGAAACGAAUGCUAAUACCGCAUAAUAUCUUUAAACACAAGUUUUAAGUUUGAAAGAUGCAAUUGCAUCACUUAAAGAUGAUCUCGCGUUGUAUUAGCUAGUUGGGGAGGUAAAGGCUCAACAAGGCGAUGAUACAUAGCCGACCUGAGAGGGUGAUCGGCCACAAUGGGACUGGGACACGGCCCAAGCUCCUACGGGAGGCAGCAGGAGGGGAACUUCGGCAAUGGAGGAAAGUCUGGACGAGCAAAGCCGGGUGAGUGAAGAAGGUUUUCGGGUCGUAAAAAUCUGUUGGUAGGGGAGAAAGUUGGGGAGAGUGGAAAGCUCAUCAAGUGACGGUAACUAACCAGAAAGGGACGGCUAACUACGUG
Molecule: ribosomal RNA, 497 nt
Filed under: uncultured bacterium
Lineage: Bacteria
Description: partial 16S ribosomal RNA
Rfam family: Bacterial small subunit ribosomal RNA
Source: RNAcentral